GUUAAGCGACUAAGCGUACACGGUGGAUGCCCUGGCAGUCAGAGGCGAUGAAGGACGUGCUAAUCUGCGAUAAGCGUCGGUGAGGUGAUAUGAACCGUUAUAACCGGCGAUUUCCGAAUGGGGAAACCCAGUGUGUUUCGACACACUAUCAUUAACUGAAUCCAUAGGUUAAUGAGGCGAACCGGGGGAACUGAAACAUCUAAGUACCCCGAGGAAAAGAAAUCAACCGAGAUUCCCCCAGUAGCGGCGAGCGAACGGGGAGGAGCCCAGAGCCUGAAUCAGUGUGUGUGUUAGUGGAAGCGUCUGGAAAGGCGCGCGAUACAGGGUGACAGCCCCGUACACAAAAAUGCACACAUUGUGAGCUCGAUGAGUAGGGCGGGACACGUGGUAUCCUGUCUGAAUAUGGGGGGACCAUCCUCCAAGGCUAAAUACUCCUGACUGACCGAUAGUGAACCAGUACCGUGAGGGAAAGGCGAAAAGAACCCCGGCGAGGGGAGUGAAAAAGAACCUGAAACCGUGUACGUACAAGCAGUGGGAGCCUCUUAAUGGGGUGACUGCGUACCUUUUGUAUAAUGGGUCAGCGACUUAUAUUCUGUAGCAAGGUUAACCGAAUAGGGGAGCCGAAGGGAAACCGAGUCUUAACUGGGCGUUAAGUUGCAGGGUAUAGACCCGAAACCCGGUGAUCUAGCCAUGGGCAGGUUGAAGGUUGGGUAACACUAACUGGAGGACCGAACCGACUAAUGUUGAAAAAUUAGCGGAUGACUUGUGGCUGGGGGUGAAAGGCCAAUCAAACCGGGAGAUAGCUGGUUCUCCCCGAAAGCUAUUUAGGUAGCGCCUCGUGAAUUCAUCUCCGGGGGUAGAGCACUGUUUCGGCAAGGGGGUCAUCCCGACUUACCAACCCGAUGCAAACUGCGAAUACCGGAGAAUGUUAUCACGGGAGACACACGGCGGGUGCUAACGUCCGUCGUGAAGAGGGAAACAACCCAGACCGCCAGCUAAGGUCCCAAAGUCAUGGUUAAGUGGGAAACGAUGUGGGAAGGCCCAGACAGCCAGGAUGUUGGCUUAGAAGCAGCCAUCAUUUAAAGAAAGCGUAAUAGCUCACUGGUCGAGUCGGCCUGCGCGGAAGAUGUAACGGGGCUAAACCAUGCACCGAAGCUGCGGCAGCGACACUAUGUGUUGUUGGGUAGGGGAGCGUUCUGUAAGCCUGUGAAGGUGGCCUGUGAGGGUUGCUGGAGGUAUCAGAAGUGCGAAUGCUGACAUAAGUAACGAUAAAGCGGGUGAAAAGCCCGCUCGCCGGAAGACCAAGGGUUCCUGUCCAACGUUAAUCGGGGCAGGGUGAGUCGACCCCUAAGGCGAGGCCGAAAGGCGUAGUCGAUGGGAAACAGGUUAAUAUUCCUGUACUUGGUGUUACUGCGAAGGGGGGACGGAGAAGGCUAUGUUGGCCGGGCGACGGUUGUCCCGGUUUAAGCGUGUAGGCUGGUUUUCCAGGCAAAUCCGGAAAACC
RNAcentral lists this ribosomal RNA (1504 nucleotides) under Escherichia coli. RNAcentral's name for it is "partial 23S ribosomal RNA". It matches the Rfam family "Bacterial large subunit ribosomal RNA", at positions 1 to 1551 of the family's 2925-position model. Lineage: Bacteria; Pseudomonadati; Pseudomonadota; Gammaproteobacteria; Enterobacterales; Enterobacteriaceae. The record is from RNAcentral.